AUUGAACGCUGGCGGCAGGCCUAACACAUGCAAGUCGAGCGGAUGAAGGGAGCUUGCUCCUGGAUUCAGCGGCGGACGGGUGAGUAAUGCCUAGGAAUCUGCCUGGUAGUGGGGGAUAACGUCCGGAAACUGGCGCUAAUACCGCAUACGUCCUGAGGGAGCAAGUGGGGGAUCUUCGGACCUCACGCUAUCAGAUGAUCCUAGGUCGGAUUAGCUAGUUGGUGGGGUAAAGGCCUACCAAGGCGACGAUCCGUAACUGGUCUGAGAGGAUGAUCAGUCACACUGGAACUGAGACAAGGUCCAGACUCCUAAGGGAGGCAGCAGUGGGGAAUAUUGGACAAUGGGCGAAAGCCUGAUCCAGCCAUGCCGCGUGUGUGAAGAAGGUAUUCGGAUUGUAAAGCACUUUAAGUUGGGAGGAAGGGCAGUAAGUUAAUACCUUGCUGUUUUGACGUUACCAACAGAAUAAGCACCGGCUAACUUCGUG
RNAcentral lists this ribosomal RNA (484 nucleotides) under uncultured bacterium. RNAcentral describes it as "partial 16S ribosomal RNA". It matches the Rfam family "Bacterial small subunit ribosomal RNA", at positions 30 to 507 of the family's 1533-position model. The record is from RNAcentral.